Molecule: ribosomal RNA, 903 nt
Filed under: uncultured archaeon
Lineage: Archaea
Description: bacterial SSU rRNA
Rfam family: Archaeal small subunit ribosomal RNA
Source: RNAcentral
UUCCGGUUGAUCCUGCCGGACCCCACUGCUAUCGGGAUAGGACUAAGACAUGCUAGUCAAGCGCUCGCCAGCCAAAGGUGAGUGCGGCGCACAGCUCAGUAACACGUGGCUAACCUGCCCUUGGGACGGGGACACCCCCGGGAAACUGGGGUUAAUCCCCGAUAGGCGAAGAACUCUGGAAUGAAUCUCCACCUAAAAGGCGCUUGCGCUAUGCUCGCAGGUGUCGCCCAAGGAUGGGGCCGCGACCGAUCAGGUUGUUGGUGAGGUAAUGGCUCACCAAGCCUUUUACCGGUGCGGGCCGUGGGAGCGGGAGCCCGGAGAUGGGCACUGAGACAAGGGCCCAGGCCCUACGGGGCGCAGCAGUCGCGAAAACUUUGCAAUACACGAAAGUGUGACAGGGCUAUCCCGAGUGCCAUCCGCUGAGGAAGGCUUUUACCCAGUUUAGAACGCUGGGAGAAUAAGGAGAGGGCAAGACUGGUGUCAGCCGCCGCGGUAAUACCAGCUCUUCGAGUGGUGUGGAUGUUUAUUGGGCCUAAAGCAUCCGUAGCUGGCUGGGCAAGUCCCCUGUUAAAUCCACCGAUUUAAUCGUUGGAGUGCGGGGGAUACUGCUCGGCUAGGGGACGGGAGAGGCAGACGGUAUUUUCGGGGUAGGGGUGAAAUCCUAUAAUCCCGGGAAGACCACCAGUGGCGAAGGCUGUCUGCUAGAACGCGCCCGACGGUGAGGGAUGAAAGCUGGGGGAGCGAACCGGAUUAGAUACCCGGGUAGUCCCAGCUGUAAACGAUGCAGGCUAGGUGUUUGGACGGCCACGUGCCGUUCUAGUGCCGCAGGGAAGCCGUUAAGCCUGCCGCCUGGGGAGUACGGCCGCAAGGCUGAAACUUAAAGGAUUGGCGGGGGAGCACCAC